AUACGGAGGGUGCAAGCGUUAUCCGGAUUCACUGGGUUUAAAGGGUGCGUAGGCGGGCUGUUAAGUCAGUGGUGAAAUCUUUGGGCUUAACCCGAAAACUGCCAUUGAUACUAUCAGUCUUGAAUAUUGUGGAGGUCUGCGGAAUAUGUCAUGUAGCGGUGAAAUGCUUAGAUAUGACAUAGAACACCAAUUGCGAAGGCAGCAGGCUACGCAUAUAUUGACGCUGAGGCACGAAAGCGUGGGGAUCAAACAGGAUUAGAUACCCUGGUAGUCCACGCCCUAAACGAUGGAUACUCGACAUACGCGAUACACAGUGUGUGUCUGAGCGAAAGCAUUAAGUAUCCCACCUGGGAAGUACGACCGCAAGGUUGAA
RNAcentral lists this ribosomal RNA (373 nucleotides) under uncultured bacterium. RNAcentral's name for it is "bacterial SSU rRNA". It matches the Rfam family "Bacterial small subunit ribosomal RNA", at positions 523 to 898 of the family's 1533-position model. The record is from RNAcentral.